RNAcentral lists this ribosomal RNA (181 nucleotides) under uncultured bacterium. Its description in RNAcentral is "partial 16S ribosomal RNA". It matches the Rfam family "Bacterial small subunit ribosomal RNA", at positions 1320 to 1500 of the family's 1533-position model. The record is from RNAcentral.
AUGAAGGCGGAAUUGCUAGUAAUCGCGGAUCAGCAUGCCGCGGUGAAUACGUUCCCGGGCCUUGUACACACCGCCCGUCACACCAUGAGAGUUUGUAACACCCAAAGCCGGUGGGGUAACCUUUUGGAGCCAGCCGUCUAAGGUGGGACAGAUGAUUGGGGUGAAGUCGUAACAAGGUACC